CCGACUGGGGAAUAGAGAAGUAAAGUGUAGCUGAGGUUUAGAGCCGGUGGGCUGGCAGGGCUUUGGGAGUUAUGGGAGCAAAGGGGGAGGAGGUUUACACGGGACGAGUAAACCAAGUUUGGCGUAAGGGGGGGGGGGGGCGAGUUGAGUCAGGGGGGACAUGGAUGGGGACCGGGGGGGCGGUGCAUGUCUCAGACACAAUAAUGCUAUUCAUUGGGCUCAGACAUGGGUGUUAACUCCCCCCUGACGGAGCACAAUGGCGCUCGGCGGCAUCGAGGCAGCCUCGGCGAUAUUGUUAGCUCAGGGCUGCAUUCUCCCCGCCCGCGGGACGGAGCGCCGCCAUUGUGCCCGUCCGCCACGACGGAUGGAGGGAGGGUUGAGGGGGUGAAAGGCGGAGAAAGAGAGAAUGGGGCGUUUGUCAGUCUGUCAGUGGUCGUUGGAGCGCCGGGCGGAGGAGGCUGGGAGGGGCGGAGGAGUGUUGUGCCCCAUGGCUUUGGACUUGUUUUUUUUUUUAUUUUCAAGGGGAUGGGGACGUAGACGAUGCGAGGAAGACAUGGCGGCGUUUGUCAGAGGUGGGGGCGGCGGGGGGGGCGUGCGUUUGGAAAGAGGGAGAGCGCGCAGGAAGAGAAGCGGCGGGAUGCGCGGAGGAUGCUGCUGCCUGUGACAUCAGACUACCGCGAGACCUCCUGUCCCAGAGGAGCGGGGGGCCGGGGGGGGGACGCAUAGCGUGUUGUGCCGGCGUUUUGAUCACAUGUCUCUUUUUUAACUGGGUCUCCGUCCAGUACGGUUAUCUGAAUAUUGGAAGUGGUUCAUUUAAGAUGAACUAAUUGGCAGAAAACGUGUGAAUCUGCCGCUCGCUCACAUUGCGGAGCAUUAAAUAUGUUUGGUUGGGGCUGUUUGUCUCGUGUUGCCUUCAGGGCCCAAAGGCAUCUCACCAAAUUCCCUCGCACGCUGCAGCCGCGGGACGCUUAUGAAGCGGCGGAUCUAUGGACGUAGGGUAUGGGUGAGGAGGACGGGGACACACAAGGAAGCAGGGUGCACGUAUCUGAUCUGCGAUGACACACAACCCACGCG
This is a long non-coding RNA of Gasterosteus aculeatus aculeatus (three-spined stickleback), 1074 nucleotides long. NCBI's taxonomy places the organism in Eukaryota, Metazoa, Chordata, Actinopteri, Perciformes, Gasterosteidae. The record is from Ensembl.